CCUACGGGGGGCAGCAGUGAGGAAUAUUGGUCAAUGGACGAGAGUCUGAACCAGCCAAGUAGCGUGAAGGAUGACUGCCCUAUGGGUUGUAAACUUCUUUUAUAUGGGAAUAAAACGUUCCACGUGUGGGAUUUUGUAUGUACCAUAUGAAUAUGGAUCGGCUAACUCCGUGCCAGCAGCCGCGGUAAUACGGAGGAUCCGAGCGUUAUCCGGAUUUAUUGGGUUUAAAGGGAGCGUAGGUGGAGUGUUAAGUCAGUUGUGAAAGUUUGCGGCUCAACCGUAAAAUUGCAGUUGAAACUGGCAGUCUUGAGUACAGUAGAGGUGGGCGGAAUUCGUGGUGUAGCGGUGAAAUGCUUAGAUAUCACGAAGAACUCCGAUGGCGAAGGCAGUUCACUGGACUGCAACUGACACUGAGGCUCGAAAGUGUGGGUAUCAAACAGGAUUAGAUACCCGUGUAGUC
Molecule: ribosomal RNA, 460 nt
Filed under: uncultured bacterium
Lineage: Bacteria
Description: partial 16S ribosomal RNA
Rfam family: Bacterial small subunit ribosomal RNA
Source: RNAcentral